AAAGUUUGCUUAAUUGCAUUACACAUGUUUUUUUAGAGAACUUGCUUGCAAGAACACUAAUAAUUUAUUCAGUCAAAACUAACUAAUAUCAAAACUUUCAACAACGGAUCUCUUGGUUCUCGCAUCGAUGAAGAACGCAGCGAAAUGCGAUACGUAAUAUGAAUUGCAGAUUUUCGUGAAUCAUCGAAUCUUUGAACGCACAUUGCGCCCUGUGGUAUUCCACAGGGCAUGCCUGUUUGAGCGUCAUUUCUCCCUCAAACCUCUGGUUUGGCGUUGAGUGAUACUCGGUUUACUUGAAAUAUAUGAAAAGCAUAACUAUUAGGUUUUACCAACUCGUUAUACUAAUCUACAAGUUUGACCUCAAAUCAGGUAGGACUACCCGCU
RNAcentral lists this ribosomal RNA (384 nucleotides) under Ascomycota sp. BEA-2010. RNAcentral's name for it is "eukaryotic LSU rRNA". The stretch from base 93 to 246 matches the Rfam family "5.8S ribosomal RNA". Lineage: Eukaryota; Fungi; Ascomycota. The record is from RNAcentral.